GAGCCCGCUCCCGGCCCCGCGCCCCAGGACCCGCUGCUGGUUGCUGGGUUCCCGAAGCCCCCUCAGGAUUCCCUUGGCCAGGAUGGAACUGAAGGCUGAGGAGGAGGAGGUGGGUGGCGUCCAGCCGGUGAGCAUUCAGGCCUUCGCCAGCAGCUCCACGCUGCACGGCCUGGCCCACAUCUUCUCCUACGAGCGGCUGUCACUGAAACGGGCGCUCUGGGCCCUGUGUUUCCUGGGCUCACUGGCUUUGCUGCUGUGUGUGUGCACAGAGCGUGUGCAGUACUACUUCAACUACCACCACGUCACCAAGCUCGACGAGGUGGCUGCCUCCCAGCUCACCUUCCCCGCCGUCACGCUGUGCAACCUCAAUGAGUUCCGCUUUAGCCAAGUCUCCAAGAAUGACUUGUACCAUGCUGGAGAACUGCUGGCCCUGCUCAACAACAGGUAUGAGAUACCCGAUACACAGAUGGCAGAUGAAAAGCAGCUGGAGAUCCUGCAGGACAAGGCCAACUUCCGCAGUUUCAAGCCCAAGCCCUUCAACAUGCGCGAGUUCUACGACCGCGCGGGGCACGACAUUAGAGACAUGCUGCUCUCCUGCCAAUUCCGGGGGGAGGUCUGCAGCGCAGAAGACUUCAAGGUGGUCUUUACACGGUAUGGAAAGUGCUACACGUUCAACUCGGGCCGAGAUGGGCGUCCACGGCUGAAGACCAUGAAGGGUGGGACGGGCAAUGGGCUGGAGAUCAUGCUAGACAUCCAGCAGGACGAGUACCUGCCCGUAUGGGGGGAGACUGAUGAGACGUCCUUCGAAGCAGGCAUCAAAGUGCAGAUCCACAGUCAGGAUGAACCUCCCUUCAUCGACCAGCUGGGCUUUGGUGUGGCCCCAGGGUUCCAGACCUUUGUGGCCUGCCAGGAGCAGCGGCUCAUCUACCUGCCUCCACCCUGGGGCACCUGCAAAGCUGUUACCAUGGACUCGGAUUUCUUCGACUCCUACAGCAUUACUGCCUGCCGCAUUGACUGUGAGACCCGCUACCUAGUGGAAAACUGUAAUUGCCGCAUGGUGCACAUGCCAGGAGAUGCCCCAUACUGCACUCCAGAGCAGUACAAGGAGUGUGCAGAUCCUGCUCUGGACUUCCUGGUGGAGAAAGACCAGGAGUACUGUGUGUGUGAAAUGCCCUGCAAUCUGACCCGCUAUGGCAAGGAGCUGUCCAUGGUGAAGAUCCCCAGCAAAGCAUCAGCCAAGUACCUGGCCAAGAAAUUCAACAAGUCUGAGCAGUACAUAGGGGAGAACAUCCUGGUACUGGACAUUUUCUUUGAAGUCCUCAACUAUGAGACCAUUGAGCAGAAGAAGGCUUAUGAGAUUGCAGGUCUCCUGGGUGAGCUGCUGAUGGCACCUGUCCCCUUCCCAUGUCAUGGGCAUGGUGUGCACCGUACCACCCAAAGCAGGCUGCUCACCUCUGUCCCGUGAGCUCUUCUCCCCCAGACAUCCCCAGGGGCCUUUCCCUAAACUCUUUUGUUUUGGUGACAUUGGGGGCCAGAUGGGGCUGUUCAUCGGGGCUAGCAUCCUUACGGUGCUGGAGCUCUUUGACUACGCCUAUGAGGUCAUUAAGCACAAGCUGUGCAGAAGAGGAAAGUGCCAGAAGGACGCCAAAAGGAGCAGCGCAGACAAGGGUGUGGCCCUCAGCCUGGAUGACGUCAAAAGACACAACCCGUGUGAGAGCCUCCGGGGCCAUCCUGCCGGGAUGACGUAUGCUGCCAACAUCCUACCUCACCAUCCGGCCCGAGGCACUUUUGAGGACUUUACCUGCUAAGCCCUGCAGGCCACUGUACCAAAGGCCUAGAUGGGGAGGGCUAGGAGAGCAAGGGGGCCCCCAAUUGCCCUCUAACUUCUGCCCUGGGGUCCUACUCCCGCCUCCCAAGGCAGUGCCCCUCUCCUGGGCAGUCCUUUCCUCUUGUCUGUGGUGAGGAAGGAGUCUUGACCGUAGAAUCCUCUCCCUAUCUCUAUCCCAUUCUUUUUAUUUUUAACAAAACUAAUCAAAAACAAACAAAAAAACUAAAAAGAGAGAACUGGGCAAAUGACCUCAGGCUGCCCCUCUCUGCUCCAUGCUGCCUCCCCCAGCUCCCAGCCUGAAUUCUAUCUAUCCGGCUGUCUGUUAUCUGAAUGUCCACCUACAUUCUGUUGCCACCAGUCACCUAAGCCCUCUCUUAGUGGGGGGUGAGGAGAUCCUCCAGGUCUGGAAUUUGGCCCCAAACCAGAGGAUAUACCUUGAAGGGGAGGGAUAGUGGUGGUGGUGAGGCCUUCCUCAGCCUUAAGAGACCCUCUCAGCCCAGUGACCACCCCACCCAACCCCAAGUCUCCAGGCAGGAACUAAGACCCUAGUACCCCACCACCACCACACACAUAUACCAUGUGAAGUCACUAGGGAGGUGUGGGGGUGGGGAUCCCCUGAAGAAAUGGAGAUGGCAACAAGAUGUGGCCCUGGUGCUGUAGGCCACAUCCUGAUAUCUACAGGUUCACCCCCUCCCAGAGCUGCUGGAGAGAAAUCCCAAGAGGCAACCCUCCUUUACCAUCCCAUAAAAGAUCCAGCUGGUUGGCUUCCAGCUCAGGGAGAGGGGCACUGGUGCCUGACCUCACUGGUCCCUCUCCCAGAGGCCCAUGCAGAGGGCCACAUCCAUAAAUUUUCUUAUGGAACUGUCUCAAGUCCUCUUCCCCAACUUCAUUUGCUUCUCUCAACAACCUCAUCUGCAUUUUCUAUUUCUAUACGAUACAGACUCUAUAUUGCUAUAUCUCUGUAUAUACUUUCCCCUAACUCUGUCUGUCUCUACCGCAUCCCCUCUUGUCUCUAAGAACCAUCCUCCUACCCCAAGUUCCCCUUCCUGUGUUUCUGCUCCCUCCCUGGUCUCUGAAUGCCUUCGCCUGUAUAAAGAAUUGGACUCUCUCCCCUGGUGUCUGUACUGUGUACACACAUCCCUCUGAGAAGCACAAGGAGACGACACGCGCAUUGUAACCUUCGCACUGUCUCGGUGGCGACAUAAAGGAAGCUGUGAAUCACAAGCUCUGCCUCUUUCUGGCCUCACCCUCUCCUCCCAUCCUGGGCACCCUCUGCCCUCCCUGCAGCCUUAAUAUCCCCUCCCCUGCUCGACCCACCCCAAAGCCCUUUGUCUGGCUGACUGUGGCCUCCCCAAGUAAGGGAUUGCUACAGAGAGGGCCCUCACCCAAGGGAUGGAGAUCUGCUCUGUACAAUAAGCCAAAGGCAUCAGAGACAGAGAAAGCUGUGGAUCAGUGACUCCUGCAGGGUGCUGACAGGCAGAAGCUGAGGUUCUCAGUCAGUGGCCUUUCCCUCUCUCUGGGUGCCCAGCCUCCUUUCCUCGCCUGGUACGCAAGCCCAUCACUUAUUUUCUGGUGAGUUACGGUUUGAUAAUGGGAGGAAAGAGACCUAGAGGAGAAGUCGAAAGCUCUGCUGUUUCGUCCCUCCCUUCCUACCUUAAAGAGAAAUGAGUGAGGUAGAGGGCCUGCCAUACCCUCUCCUUCUAGGCCGGAGCCCUGCCCCUUCCCAGGCCUUCUCUGCCCAGCUGUCUUUUGGUCUCUAACCCUAGAACGGGACCUGUAGCAGAUAACCUGUGCAUUAGCCUGGAUCUGGAAAGUGAGGCUAUAGGAUCUCUGGGAACUCUUAGCUCUCGGGAGUUCCUUAGAAAGCAGACCUCUCCAGAAGGAAGCAGAAGCCAGGCCAAGGGGUGUGCACCAGAUGGAGAACAGCAGGCAGGGCUAUGGGUGACGCAUGCCUCUGGUCUAAUAAAAUGGGUUUCAACCAUCUCCUCUUCA
RNA transcript from Pteropus alecto (black flying fox), 3820 nucleotides. It is a transcript of the gene named acid sensing ion channel subunit 1, with no coding region annotated. NCBI's taxonomy places the organism in Eukaryota, Metazoa, Chordata, Mammalia, Chiroptera, Pteropodidae. The transcript is spliced from 12 exons. The record is from RefSeq and is a predicted model, not a curated record.